GACAGAGGGUGCAAACGUUGUUCGGAAUUACUGGGCGUAAAGCGCGUGUAGGCGGCCAUCUAAGUCGGGCGUGAAAUCCCACGGCUCAACCGUGGAAGUGCACUCGAAACUGGAUGGCUAGAGUCCUGGAGAGGAAGGUGGAAUGCUUGGUGUAGAGGUGAAAUUCGUAGAUAUCAAGCGGAACACCGGUGGCGAAGGCGGCCUUCUGGGCAGUGACUGACGCUGAGACGCGAAAGCGUGGGGAGCAAACAGG
RNAcentral lists this ribosomal RNA (253 nucleotides) under uncultured bacterium. RNAcentral's name for it is "partial 16S ribosomal RNA". It matches the Rfam family "Bacterial small subunit ribosomal RNA", at positions 524 to 776 of the family's 1533-position model. The record is from RNAcentral.